RNAcentral lists this ribosomal RNA (120 nucleotides) under uncultured bacterium. RNAcentral's name for it is "partial 16S ribosomal RNA". It matches the Rfam family "Bacterial small subunit ribosomal RNA", at positions 29 to 161 of the family's 1533-position model. The record is from RNAcentral.
AGCGAACGCUGGCGGCAGGCUUAACACAUGCAAGUCGAGCGCCCCGCAAGGGGAGCGGCAGACGGGUGAGUAACACGUGGGAACGUACCCUUCAGUUCGGAACAACCCAGGGAAACUUGG